Molecule: long non-coding RNA, 3798 nt
Organism: Mustela erminea (ermine)
Lineage: Eukaryota; Metazoa; Chordata; Mammalia; Carnivora; Mustelidae
Exons: 4
Source: RefSeq, a predicted model, not a curated record
GCAGGCACAUGCCCAGGGCAGUGAGCGGAGCCGCCCAGGUGGCCCUUCCUCCGUAUUUCUAAAUAACCUGCCCAUAUUUUCUAAUUUCUCUGAUCCCUUUUUUCAGUUUUGAAUAGCGUUUGUUGGUUCCCCUGAGUAGAAAGAUGGGGUUCUGUUCUACCCCAACAAUGUGCCUUCCUCCCCACUGUCCCGGGUAUGAAAUGGCUAUUCCUUUGUUUUUGUUAUUGAGGUGACGUAGACCGUACUCCGCUCAGGCAGGUGGGCCUGCAUGCCUGCGCACGUGUUAGCGGGCAGAGGCUCCCUUGUUUACCGGAGAGCCUUGAACGGACAAGCCCUAUAGAAGGGGGCGGCCCAGAUCCCACCCCAACACCUUCAGCCCAGCACCCACAUGUGUAAAGUCAACCCCUCAUAGGGCCUCUUGGUUAAAUGUAUGUUUUUCCCACUCUCAGCUUUUGGUUAUAUGGGCUGUGGGGCUGAUGCCUGUUGAGCCCACAGAGGCCUCAUUAUUCUGAUUUUCUGUCUGUUCCAUUCACGUGUUUCAAAGUUAUGUGGAAAACAGGGAGUAAAGCUUGACAUUUCAAGGCCAAGGGCCAGGAAGGAAGAGCAGAGUGUACUUCUUCUGUAAGCCUAAAGCAUCUCCCACAAUCCUCCUCAGAUUCUUCUUUUUUGAAGCAUUUUUUAAAAAUUGCGCUGAAAUACACAAAGCCCAGGAGCACGUGGGUGCAGUCAGUUGAGCGUCUGGCUCUCGGGCUCAGCUCGGUGGUGGUCUCAGGGUCACGGGACUGAGCCCGUGGGGGGCGCUGAGCCCCGCGCACAGCCUGCCUGAGGUCCGCUCUCCCUGCCCCUGCCCCUGCCCUUCCUGCUGUGUGCUCUCUCUCUCCUGCCCCCACUCUCUAAAGUAAACAAGUAGAUCUUAAAAAUACAUACAUACAUAGCCUCAAAUUUACUGUCUUCGUGGUUUCUGGAUCAGCUCGGGGGUGUGACGCUCACUCACCAUAAUGCAGACGCCGCGGCUCGUGCACAGAACGCGCCCGUCUUCAGCUCGAGCUCCGUCCCCAUUAAACCGACUCCCUGUCCUGUACCAAGCCCCUGGCACCCCCAUCUUCCGUACGGACCCGACUCUCCCAGGGACCGCCUGUGAGUGGGAUGGUACAGAGUUUGUCCUGUGGUGUCCGGCUUUUCUCACUCAGUGUAAUACCCUCCCCCCAACCCCAUACGGUGUAGCAGGUGUCACGACCUUUCCUAAGGCCGAGUGCGACCGUCCCCUGCAGGGCCAGGCUGCGUCGCGCUUUUCCCGUCGUCCUCUGAGGGAUGCCUAGCUUGCUCCCACCUUCCGGCCAUCGUGAGCGACGCCGCUGUGAGCACAGGUGUCCCAGUGUCCGUUCAGGUCCCUGCUCUUAGUGCUUUGGGGCAGAUACUCAGAGAUGGACUUGCUGGGUCUUACAGGAGUUCUCUCGGUUCUUUGAGGAGCUGCUGUGGUGUUCUCCUGUGACAGCCGUGUCAUAGGUGCCCACCAGCGGUGCACAAAGAGCCCAGUUGCUCCACACCCCUUCUUUCCUUUUUUUUUUUUUUUUUUUUUAAUAUUUUUUAUUUAGGGGGGAGAGGCAAACUCUCCACCGAGCCCAGAGUCCGACACAGGGCUCGAUCCCACCACCCAAGCUGAAACCCAGAGUCGACACCCAACCGACCACACCCCCAGGCGCCCCAGUGCUUAUUUUCUUUUUCCUCUUUGUUUUUAAUAACCGCGGUCUUCACGGGUGUGAAGUUGCUUCUCGUCGUGGUUUCGGUCUGCGUCCCGAGACGUCCCUUUAUUUCAGGUCGUCUCCCAGUGUGGACGAGAGCACGUCCCGGCGCUGUUUCUCCAGUGUUCUCGUGCACACGCGUCCUCUCGGGAGCUUGUGGGAAUCCUGGUUCGGGAGACCCGGCGUGCGGCGUCUGCGUCUCUAGCAAGCACCAGGGCGUGCCAGGGACGAAAGCUGCUGGUCCGAAGGCCAGGCCAUGGGUCGCAAGGACAGAGGAGAAGUGCGUUGGCUCUGGAGUCGAGCAGACCCGACUCGGGGAGGAUUCAGAGUCGUGGAUCCAGGGCCUCCUUGGCUAGAGCCGAGCACUUUCCGACUCCUGGCACCUGCCGACGCCGUGGGAAGGAAGCCGCUGCGUGACUUUCUCGUCGUCACAACGCAGGCUGUAAAGCCUGUGACUCUUCUAAGCUCUGCCGAAGUUCACACGCGCCUCUCUGUUCGUUCGUGAAGCCUUUCUCGGGACCCUCCAGCGGCGCACGGUGCCAGGUGAGGCCGGGGGAGUCCUGUCCUCGGGAGGGUCACAGCCUCCCCGCAGAGGUGAGACCAGGGCCGGAGCGAGCAGGACAGAGCAGAGACGGCGGCGCGCUGCCGGAGGUGCUGGGAAUGCUCAGGCCCCACAGACCGCGAGAAAGGUCUGGCUUUCAGGCUGGGGAAUGACGCGAUUGUAACUGUAUCUUGAGCAAAGCUCGUUGGUCGCAGGGGUGAGCUGGAGCAGGGGGACCCCUGCUCACCGGGGUCAGAGCCCUCCACUGUCUGCUGCAGCCCAGACGGCGACGUCUGUCACCUACAGCUGUGGUGGUCCGCACACCUGCUGUUGACAGACUCUGGUAGUCUGUCGUCUGUCGACCGUGGUGGUCCGUGUCAUCUCUAGACCAUGACGGUCUGUGUCAUCUGUGUCCUCUCUAGACUGGGACUUCCCGUGUCGUCUGUUAUUGCUGGACUGUAGCAGUCUGCGUCAUCUGUCGUUUCUGUUCCAAGAUGGCCCAUGUCGCCUGUCAUCUGUAGGCCGUGACAGUCCGUGUGAUCUGUCAUCUCUAGACCGUGAUGGCCAGUGUCAUCUGUUUUCUCCAGAUCGUGACGGUCCAUGUCAUCUGUUGUCUGUAGACCAGGACGGCCUGUUUCUUCUGUCAUCUCCAGUCUGUGACGGUCCAUGUCACCUGUAGUCCAGGACAGUCCAUGCCAUUUGUUGUCUCCAGUCCUGAUGGUCCAUGUUGUCUGUAGACAGGGUGGUCUGUGUUGUCUGUUGUCUGUAGUCUGGGACGGUCCAUGUCCUCUGUCAUCUGUAAACCAGGAUGGUCCUUGUCAUCUGUCAUCUCCAGUCUGUGACGGUCCAUGUCAUCUGUAGACCAGGACAGUCCCUGUCACCUGUUGUCGGCAGUCCGCAAUGGCCUAUGUCGUCUGUUGUCUCUAGUCUGGGAUGGUCCAUGUUCUCUGUUGUCUGUAGACCAGGACGGUCCGGGUCAUUUGUCAUCUAGACUAUGAUAGUCUGUAUCCUCUGUCUGUAGACAUGGUCUGUGACAUAUGUCGUCUCUUAAAAUGCAGACCACGGUGGUCUAUAAUGAAAGUUCAGCAUUGGAGGGUCAGCAAAGGGAAUCUCAGGCCUUGAGAAGUCUGGGAAGAAAACGUGUCGUGUGCUGAGGCCUUGGGGUUGGCACUGAGGUGUGCGAAUGAUCAUGGCAGAUCCCACUGCUAAGAGUUCAAGAAAGUGCCAGCAGCCUCUUGUGCGACAGAAGGCAGCUGCCUGGCUGCCUGGAGAAGGGCUGAGGGAGGGGGAGGAGGGCGGGAGGAGACCGGUGGGUGCGUCUGUGCCACGGAGCAGACUGGGGCUUCACAGGUGUGCGCGGGUGUCCUGACCCAGCAGCCCCCACACCUCAUGUCUGUGCGUAUGGCCGUAGGCCAGUCGCUGCUCACUGUGGCUGCCUGGCGAUGCCCCGAUUUCAUGUGUGUGAGCUGCCGGGUGGGUGGUUAUGAGUGAGGGGUCUGGUGACUGGCUCGGACC